This 443-nucleotide ribosomal RNA is filed under the name uncultured bacterium. Its description in RNAcentral is "partial 16S ribosomal RNA". It matches the Rfam family "Bacterial small subunit ribosomal RNA", at positions 338 to 795 of the family's 1533-position model. The record is from RNAcentral.
CCUACGGGAGGCAGCCGUGGGGAAUCUUGGGCAAUGGGCGCAAGCCUGACCCAGCAACGCCGCGUGAAGGCAGAAGGCUUUCGGGUUGUAAACUUCUUUUAUCAGGGACGAAGCAAGUGACAGUACCUGAUGAAUAAGCCACGGCUAACUACGUGCCAGCCGCCGCGGUACUACGUAGGUGGCACGCGUUAUCCGGAUUUACUGGGUGUAAAGGGCGUGUAGGCGGGCGUGCAAGUCAGAUGUGAAAACGCUGGGCUCAACCCAUAGCCUGCAUUUGAAACUGUACUUCUUGAGUGCUGGAGAGGCAAUCGGAAUUCCGGGUGUAGCGGUGAAAUGCGUAGAGAUACGGAGGAACACCAGUGGCGAAGGCGGAUUGCGGGACAGUAACUGACGCUGAGGCGCGAAAGCGUGGGGAGCAAACAGGAUUAGAUACCCGAGUAGUC